This 464-nucleotide ribosomal RNA is filed under the name uncultured Geobacteraceae bacterium. Its description in RNAcentral is "partial 16S ribosomal RNA". It matches the Rfam family "Bacterial small subunit ribosomal RNA", at positions 338 to 794 of the family's 1533-position model. Lineage: Bacteria; Pseudomonadati; Thermodesulfobacteriota; Desulfuromonadia; Geobacterales; Geobacteraceae. The record is from RNAcentral.
CCUACGGGCGGCAGCAGUGGGGAAUUUUGCGCAAUGGGGGCAACCCUGACGCAGCAACGCCGCGUGAGUGAUGAAGGCCUUCGGGUCGUAAAGCUCUGUCAGAGGGGAAGAAAUGCAGGUGGUGAACAACCAUUCUGUUUGACGGUACCCUCAAAGGAAGCACCGGCUAACUCCGUGCCAGCAGCCGCGGUAAUACGGAGGGUGCGAGCGUUGUUCGGAAUUAUUGGGCGUAAAGCGCGUGUAGGCGGUUUGUUAAGGCUGAGGCGAAAUCCCCGGGCUAAACCUGGUAAGUGCAUUGGAUACUGGCAGGCUUGAUUACGGGAGAGGAGAGUGGAAUUCCCAGUGUAGGAGUGAAAUCCGUAGAUAUUGGGAGGAACACCGGUGGCGAAGGCGGCUCCCUGGACCGAAACUGACGCUGAGACGCGAAAGCGUGGGGAGCAAACGGGAUUAGAUCCCCUUGUAGU